Molecule: ribosomal RNA, 233 nt
Filed under: uncultured bacterium
Lineage: Bacteria
Description: partial 16S ribosomal RNA
Rfam family: Bacterial small subunit ribosomal RNA
Source: RNAcentral
GACCGGAUGCGGAUCUCGAAAGCCUGUCCCAGUUCGGACUGGAGUCUGCAACCCGACUCCACGAAGUUGGAUUCGCUAGUAAUCGCGCAUCAGCCAUGGCGCGGUGAAUACGUUCCCGGGCCUUGUACACACCGCCCGUCAAGCCAUGGGAGCCGGGGGCGCCUGAAGUCCGGGACCGCGAGGACCGGCCUAGGGCGAAACUGGUAACUGGGGCUAAGUCGUAACAAGGUAGC